CCAGUGUUUGCGCUAGUGACAGUGCGGAUUCAGCGCUGCUUUUAAUCGGAACGUCAUUUUCACGCAUCGUGUUUUGCUUGUUUCUCAUAACUGGCGAGAGCAGAUAACUUCGAGGAUUUAGAUUGUUGUUGAGCAGCGAUGUCGUUUAUUGCCGCUACACUGCUGUUGGCGGAGAGUGUCCAAACAGGGUGGACGGUUGUUUUAAAGGUAUAUACAUUUGGCUGGCGUAGUUAUCAAAUAAUUCAAGGACUUGUGUAUUCAAAAAGGAGCAUCAAUAAAAAAGCUCUGAAAUAUUGAGGAUCGAUAUUGCUACAAAUUCAGACUUAUUACCGGCCUACUUAGCCGAUUCAAUGUGUGUGG
Bemisia tabaci is the source of this 360-nucleotide non-coding RNA. Lineage: Eukaryota; Metazoa; Arthropoda; Insecta; Hemiptera; Aleyrodidae. The record is from RefSeq and is a predicted model, not a curated record.